CCUACGGGAGGCAGCAGUGGGGAAUCUUGCACAAUGGGGGAAACCCUGAUGCAGCGACGCCGCGUGGGUGAAGAAGUAUUUCGGUAUGUAAAGCCCUAUUAGUAGGGAAGAAAAAUGACGGUACCUGACUAAGAAGCACCGGCGAAAUACGCGCCAGCAGCCGCGGUAAUAUGUAGGGUGCAAGCGUUAUCCGGAUUUACUGGGUGUAAAGGGAGCGCAGGCGGCACGCUAAGCCUGAUGUGAAAACCCGCGGCCCAACCGCGGGAGGGCAUUGGGGACUGGGGGGCUGGAGUACCGGAGGGGCAAGCGGAAGUCCUAGUGUAGCGGUGAAAUGCGUAGAUAUUGGGAGGAACACCAGUGGCGAAGGCGGCCUGCUGGACGGAGACUGACGCUGAGGCUCGAAAGCGUGGGGAGCAAACGGGAUUAGAUACCCCAGUAGUC
RNAcentral lists this ribosomal RNA (441 nucleotides) under uncultured bacterium. RNAcentral describes it as "partial 16S ribosomal RNA". It matches the Rfam family "Bacterial small subunit ribosomal RNA", at positions 338 to 795 of the family's 1533-position model. The record is from RNAcentral.